RNAcentral lists this ribosomal RNA (777 nucleotides) under uncultured Neocallimastigales. RNAcentral's name for it is "partial large subunit ribosomal RNA". It matches the Rfam family "Eukaryotic large subunit ribosomal RNA", at positions 23 to 633 of the family's 3401-position model. Lineage: Eukaryota; Fungi; Neocallimastigomycota; Neocallimastigomycetes; Neocallimastigales. The record is from RNAcentral.
AGAGAGAGACAUGCGCGCAUAUCAAUAAGCGGAGGAAAAGAAACUAACAUAGGAUUCCCUCAGUAACGGCGAGUGAAGCGGGAAGAGCUCAAAUUUGAAAUCUUCAAGGGUUCUACCUUUACGAAUUGUAGUUUAAAGAAGUGUUUUCUGUUGGAGUUUUGGUAAAAGUUCUUUGGAAUAGGACAUCAUAGAGGGUGAGAAUCCCGUAUUUGACCAUUAUUUCCAGCUUUGUGAUACACUUUCAAAGAGUCGGAUUGUUUGGGAAUGCAGUCCAAAAUGGGUGGUAAAUUUCAUCUAAAGCUAAAUACUGGCGAGAGACCGAUAGCGAACAAGUACCGUGAGGGAAAGAUGGAAAGAACUUUGAAAAGAGAGUUAAACAGUACGUGAAAUUGUCAAAAGGGAAGCGUUUGACACCAGUGUUGUUUUCUCGAAAAUCAAUUAAAAAUGGCUGGAUUUUGUGUUGUAUUGACUUUAUCAGCUUUCUGCACUUUUUUCCUGUCUUUUUUAAUGCACUUUUCGUUUAACAAGUCAACAUCAAUUUCUUUUGUUGUAAAAGGAGUCAUUGGAAGGUGGCUUUCUUUUCGGAGAAAGUGUUUAUAGCCUUUGCUCUCUGCAAUCGGAGAGAUUGAGGUCUGCAGCGUAGAUCCUUCGGGGUUAGAUACAUUUGUGCUAAGCUAUAGCCUUCCAUAGACAACUUGUUGACUAUGAUCAGUCAUGUAGCUUACUCGCUGAUGCUAUUUUACCUACGCUUAGGAUGUUGACAGCAGUAUAGACUGU